GAGCGGUAACAGGCGUAGCAAUACGCGCUGACGAGCGGCGAACGGGUGAGUAAUGCUUCGGAAUCUGCCCAAUGGUGGGGAAUAACCAGCCGAAAGGUUGGCUAAUACCGCAUACGUCCUAAGGGGGAAAGCAGGGGAUCGUAAGACCUUGCGCCGAUGGAUGAGCCGAAGUCGGAUUAGCUGGUUGGUAGGGUAACGGCCUACCAAGGCGACGAUCCGUAGCUGGUCUGAGAGGACGACCAGCCACACUGGGACUGAGACACGGCCCAGACUCCUACGGGAGGCAGCAGUGGGGAAUAUUGGACAAUGGGGGCAACCCUGAUCCAGCGACGCCGCGUGUGUGAAGAAGGCCUGCGGGUUGUAAAGCACUUUUAGUGGGGAUGAAAAGCUCCGUUCUAAUACAGCGGGGUCUUGACCUAACCCAAAGAAAAAGCACCGGCUAACUCUGUG
This 450-nucleotide ribosomal RNA is filed under the name uncultured bacterium. Its description in RNAcentral is "bacterial SSU rRNA". It matches the Rfam family "Bacterial small subunit ribosomal RNA", at positions 64 to 507 of the family's 1533-position model. The record is from RNAcentral.